RNAcentral lists this non-coding RNA (151 nucleotides) under Platyophrya macrostoma. Lineage: Eukaryota; Ciliophora; Colpodea; Cyrtolophosidida; Platyophryidae. The record is from RNAcentral.
AAAAAAUCAAACAAAAACGAAAAGAGAGAGACGAAGGAUGUACGUGGAAGUGUAAUCCCCUUAUGUUCAUCUCUCUAAUUUCUAAUAGUGUUUCUUUUUUUCCUCAUUUCACUUAAAAAAAAAACAUUUUUCACAAAAAAACGUGGAAAGG